This is a long non-coding RNA of Gambusia affinis (western mosquitofish), 2982 nucleotides long. RefSeq lists it as uncharacterized. The record is from RefSeq and is a predicted model, not a curated record. The transcript is spliced from 4 exons. Lineage: Eukaryota; Metazoa; Chordata; Actinopteri; Cyprinodontiformes; Poeciliidae.
CUGAAAUAACCGAAAACUCUCAGGUUUGGGUUUUACUUCAUAGCGUUCAAGUCUCCCGUUUUGGACAGGAAACUACCAUAUUUUACCCCUCUUUUCCCGCCGUCCUCUCGUAUUAGUAUUUCCCAAUAAGUUUAGCAUAUUAUAAAACGCUAAUUUUUUAAAAACGCCGCUGUGCCUCUCCACUCUGAGUCCAACCUCUAGCCUCGCGAGACAGAACUGCCACCUGCAGUAGCCUGGGCGGCGGUUUGCUCAAAGUUAGCAAGGACAGCGGGAACAACAAUGUUGAAAAGCUUUUCCUGACAUCCUCCAAACAACCGGAACGACGGUGGCGUCCAUGUUGGUCCUGCAACCAGAUGGGGGCCUGUUUGAUUCCCGCUCUGCCUCUGUCUUGACACUUCAGAGGGCCCAGAAGGUGGCGCUGAGCCUGGAGCAGCUCAGGACAGAUUUCUAUCAGCCACAAUCAGAUGCCAUUUAUGCAGAAAGAAGAUCUCCGGUGAGCUGGGUGCCACCACAGCUUUUCUAGAUCCAUGCGCUCAGAUCCAAGACUUUGCUCCACCCAUUAUGUUGGCGCACACAAAGACCUGAACUCCUCGCAAAACUCACAGCACACAGAACCCGUCUCCUUCCUGGACAGUGUGAUGGAUGGACAUUCCCAUGCUACUCAUCCCUGCCUGUAGCCAUGACCUCCAGACAUCUGGGAAUCGGACUCAGAGACGAACCAGAAUUGAAAAGCUUCAUAGUUCUGUUAUCUUGGCUGAUUUCUGUUGACCAAUAUGAACCGGUUGUCUCUCCUUCCCGUAUAAAUAUUGCCACCUUCCUAUUUUUUUUUUUUUUUGUCAAGUAGUGAUUUAGGGUUUUAUUUUAGGAUUGUGACAAUAUAAUGUCAUUAAACCUGCUAUUAAGAAAAACUUCUUGGACUUCUCUCAGCUAAUUAAUUACUAGCCUGUAUCUAAGUUACAGCUAUUUAAAAACAUCUUACAAGGGAAACCCCACUAAUUUCUUCAGGAUCAAUGCAAAAUGUUUAAUAAAUACCAAUCUGGUUUUCAUAAAAUGCAUUCAACAGAUUCCUUUAGCUUAGCUUAAAGCAUCCAGUGACACCAUGAUGGCAGCAAUCACUGUGAAAGUUACUGUUUGAGUCUUGUUAGGUACUUUAGAAGCCUUUGACAUUGGGUUAGGGUUAGUUUAGUCAAAAUAUUUGGAGCUAUUUUCAGAGCCUUCAGGUUCCAUGUAAACCCUGUUUAAAAGUACGUAACUUUUCUUUAAAUCCAAGUCAAAUCUCAAGAAUUUGAUCCUAAGUCAGAGUCAAGCCUCAAUUCAUUUAUUUUGGUGAUUUCAUUGCGAGUUAGAAACCUCCACAUGUCAGACUCCAACUGGUCUUAACGUGUGAGGGAACCCAUGGCUGUUUUCUGGGCCCACCUGGAAUAUCUUCAGAAUAUCUCCUUAACUUUUAUGCAGAUGACAUCCAGCUGUUCCUUCAACAAUUUGAGAAAAUUGUUGAAGGCAAAGAUCCGGCAAAGAAAACAAAUCACUCUUCAACCAAACUCUGGGAAUACUUAGUAUCCGACCACGUUCCUCUGAUUGGGCAACACAUCCGACCUCUGAAUUAGGGGUGCACCGAUUUGUUGUCCGGCCCAUUUAUUGGUGCAGAUUUCCUUAAUUUUGGGAGAUCGCUCGAUACCUACAUGUGAAGCCGAUCUUAUAUACCUCAGCAAAGCUCUAAAGAUGAACUCUGUCCUCUUCUGUUCUCUCAUUAGAGGUCCGACUGACAGAUCGGCUCACCGGGUCAUAUCUGCACGUUGGCAGUUAACAAUAGUCGCCCCACUGUUGCCAACUUUCUUGUUAUAUUUAGUGGCAUUUCAGACCAAAAAAAAAAGAAAAAGAAAUUGGUAUCGGCCAAAAUCGGAAUCAGCAGGUCGGGCUUUUUAAAGAUCGGUAAUCAUGGAUUGGCCAGAAAACUGCAAUCAAUGCACCGCUAGUCGUAUGGGAGAAAGACAUGUCACCAAGUGGCAACAAUAGCACUUAGCAACAGGUCUGUAAGCUCCUGGAGAUUGAAAAUAUUCCACAUCUUAGGAAAGUGAAGCAGAAAACACAAGACAUCAACCUUCAAAAAUCUUGAAGUAUAAAAAAAGAAACCAACAAAAAAGAAACCAUCUGUAACAUCACUGAGGUGAAACAGCAAAGAAGACAGUAAGAACAAGUAGGAUUCACUGCUGGGGCACAGUGGAUGCAUUUAAUGAGUCAGACAUACAAAAAUAAAUCACGACAAAGCAACACAUGUACUGUACAAAUUAAAAAUCUCAAAGGGAAAAAAAAAUAAAAAAUUAAUUGCUGAGAGGACGAGAAGAGAGAAUGUCCCGGUGGAGACGCGAUGGACGCCACUGCAGGAACACGUGACACACGUCUGACGGGACGGGGUGGAGGGCGACCAGCGAGCUCUAGUGUGACGCCUCCGACACGCACCCCAACAUGGAAAAAAAAAACAAAUUAAAGGGUCGUUUCACAACGUUGAUGAUAUAUAUAUAUAUAUCCAAAAGCAAAACCUCUUAAGAAUUGUACAAGUAUAAAAAAGCUACAAACAUUAAUAAAUUACAUCACUGACACAGAAACACUUCACAAGGUGCUAGUAAAAUAAUUCUGAAACCUUCAGGAUACUAGAAGUCAGACAAGUGGCUGGUCAUAGAAACUUUGUUUUUUUUUUUCUUUUUUCUACAGUUUUUGCUCCUCAAAGCUUCACUUCUCGCUCAAACAGAAUCACAAUACAGUUAGCUUUGUGUAUGUAAGGCCAUAUGACGACAAACAUGUUGGCUAAUUCCUUCUGUUGUUUCCCAAGGCAGCACUGAUGACCGGAGAGGCGGAAAAGGAGGACAAUAUCGGAAAUUCAUAUACAUACAUGGAUACUUUUCAAAUUAAAUUCUAAAAAAAGAAAAAGAAAAGUAAAAAUGUAGAAUUAAGUGAGAGGCAAAAAAAAAAAAAAAAAAGAUA